UCCGGUUUAACACCGGCAGUCUUCCCAGAGUCCCCAACUUAAUGAUGGUAACUGAGAACAGGGGUUGCGCUCGUUAUUGGACUUAACCAGACAUCUUACGACACGAGCUGACGACAGCCAUGCAGCACCUAUCUCCACGUCUCCGAAGAGAACACAUCAUCUCUGAUGCUAGCGUGGGAUGUUAAGGGUAGGUAAGGUUCUGCGCGUUGCUUCGAAUUAAUCCACAUAAUCCACCGCUUGUGCGGGUCCCCGUCAAUUCCUUUGAGUUUUAACCUUGCGGCCGUACUCCCCAGGCGGUCAACUUCACGCGUUAGCUUCGUUACCAAGGAAUUGCUUCCCCGACAACCAGUUGACAUAGUUUAGGGCGUGGACUAC
Molecule: unclassified non-coding RNA, 375 nt
Filed under: uncultured Pseudomonadota bacterium
Lineage: Bacteria; Pseudomonadati; Pseudomonadota
Description: uncultured proteobacterium contains 16S-23S intergenic spacer region
Source: RNAcentral